Long non-coding RNA from Mus musculus (house mouse), 4276 nucleotides. RefSeq annotates it as predicted gene, 33533. The record is from RefSeq and is a predicted model, not a curated record. NCBI's taxonomy places the organism in Eukaryota, Metazoa, Chordata, Mammalia, Rodentia, Muridae. The transcript has 7 exons.
GAGGGCACUGGAUUCUCCUAAAACUGGAACGGAAAGUGGUUAUGACCCACCUGUGCAGAACGGAACCUGAGCCAUCUCUCCACCACCCAACUUCUCGAAUUCUUAGCAGACAGAUGCCAAGAGCCACUCACUUUGUCUGUCUCCGCCUUUUAUAUGUGACCAGUGUGAACACCACCAGCACCGUCACCAGGAGGACUGCUGCCAUGGCAACGGUAGCAGAGAUGAUAUUCUUCUGCAGGAAGCUCAGCAGCUGUCCGCACGGCAGACUCUCCCUGGAGGCACCUAGGUAGGAAGACACAAGAGCAGAAGCUAGAGGAGGCCUGAAUCCAUCCCUGACAGGUUGCAGAAUGUUUGUGCAAUCCACAAAGACCUAAACAAAAUGAGAAAAUGAACCACACCGAGAUAUCUACUGGCAAUCUCCAAACGACAUAACGCCCUUAGGAGAAAGAGGCAGGUUUGGAAAUGAGAAACCUUUGCAUUCCGGCUCUGCCUCUGGCUAUCCGUGACCCACGUGAGUAAGAGGGCUGGCAAAAUCCCUGGGGGCAUUUGGUCCAGGGAAAUGGGAGGCCAAGAGCUGUCUUUGGCAGGCAUGGGAAGACCCCAGAGACAUUGUUAUAUGUGAUCUGAGCUGUUCCAUGGAACAAUCUAGAAGCCAUGGGCAGGAGCUCAGCCUGAUCUUCAUGGUCUGUGUGAAUUGGAAAGGAAAACUAACAAGAACAAAUGGGCAGGGUCAGAAAGUGACUUCCACACCCCCAGACAACCUCAAGCCAAGCUGUGGUUCCAGCGACAGGGAGAUAUACCUGAAACCUUGAUAGGAAAUGGUGGCAGGGGUUGGUGGGUAAGCUUCCUGAAUCUUUGGGCAGGUUCACAAAGGAAACAAGACUAGUUGCUAUGGAAUGAAGGAUAUUAAGUGUGUGGUAAGAGAUUCCCCAACGUUCUCAUCAUUUUUUUUUAAGAUUUAUUUAUUUAUAUGUGAGUACGCUGUAACUGUCUUCAGACACACCAGAAGAGGACAACAGAUCUCAUUACAGAUGGUUGUGAGCCACCAUGUGGUUGCUGGGAAUUGAACUCAGAACCUUCAGAAGAGCAGUCAGUGCUCUUAACCGCUGAGCUAUUUCUCCAGCCCAGUUCUUGUCAUCCUUAGAAAAGAAAGGGAUCCAUUCAUUUUCCAAGUUGGCUUAAGAUAAAGGUUCAACUUAAUAUGCCUGGCAAUCAGUUGACUUUGAAUGUGGCAACUCAUUAAAGGGAUCAGCAGACAGAGACCGAGUGUGACUGACUUCGUGUCACCCCUGAGGGCUGCAUUGCCUAGUCUUUCAGAGGCUGGUAUAAAGAGUGCUUAUGCAUGGGGAGAUAAGCUAAGCCAGGGAAUUUGCUCGGCACAUAAAAACGAGGACCCAUGAAAGAAAUGGCAGGCAUGGUGGUGAACAUCUGAAAGCCUGCUGUUCUAGAGAGACAGAGACGGGGCAUCCCCGGGGCUUGCCAGACAAUCAGCUGAGCCUACUUGCUGAGUUCCAGGCUAUCGAAAAACCCACCUCAAAAUCAACAUCAAGGGGAGGCCAAUGGAAUGGUUCGGUGGAUAAAGGUGCCUGCCGCCAAGCCUGACAACCUAAGUUCAAGGUCCAGCAUCCACAGGAUAUAAAGAAAGAACAGGCUCCUGAGACCUCCCAGACACAGGUAACAAGGGAAAAGUAGACGUUCUGGCCCUCGCCCACUCCUUAGGCCAUUGUCUCCAGGCCUCGCUCAAGAUCCAGAUGUAGAACUCUCAGCUACUUCUCCAGCACCAUGUCUGCCUGUGUGCCUCCAUGCUCCUGUCAUGAUGGUGAUGGACUAAACCUCUGAAGUGACUCCAACAUUUAAAGGAACAGAUUCUAGCCACAAGACAACAGGCUUAACUUCCCUUUGAAGGAGCAGAACAAGUUACCUCAGAGACAGCCAAGAAGUGACCUCAGAGACAGCCAAGGAGUGACCUCAGAGACAACCAACGAGUUACCUCAGAGACAGCCAAGGAGUGACCUCAGAAACAACCAAGGAGUUACCUCAGAGACAGACAAGGAGUUACCUCAGAGACAACCAAGGAGUUACCUCAGAGACAGCCAAAGUGAUACCUCAGAGAUGGCCAAGGAGUUACCUCAGAGACAGCCAAGGAGUGACCUCAGAGACAAGGACAAGCAGGAGACUUCUUCAAAACUUAAAGCUUUCACAGAAGGAGAUUAAUGCUGCUGGCUGCUUCAGUCAGUGAAGCUCCCUGGUGCAGCAAGCAGUGGCAACUACAGAAACUCACAGCUGAUCAAAGAGAUGAGAGUUCCUGAGGUUGGGAUCCCCAGCCAUACAUGGGACAUCUAGACCAUAGCUUCCAAGCUGCAGCGAACAUUGCAGAAGGGACACAAGACUGUAAGAGACAGAGGAAGAUGUGGAGUGUGUGGAACACUGACUCCCAGGGAUAGACAGGGGCUCUGUGCCCCAAUGGCUGCCCAGGAAGAUAACAAAGGAGAAGAACACAGUGUCGCUCAUUUUUGCCACAACCAGAAUGCCAUCAGGGAGGAGCCAUUCUCCUGAACUGCUCGCAGAUAGGACAGCCCCAAGUUCCAGGAUGCUGUGGAACCCGUGUUCUGUGAGGUCACACUGGGAAAGGGGCAAGUCUGUAGUCAGGGACGGAGAGGGACACUUGUGACCCUCAAACAGUCUCUCUGUUCACUGUCUCAGCUCUCUGAGGUCUGGUUAAUCCUGCAUGCCCUGCAACCUAAAGAUGGGAAUGUGUCAACAGGAUACACGGAAUGAAACUCAACUGUGGCCACUGGAGCUAGAGCCACCAGGUGUACUGUAUUGGUCAACAUAGCACAUUAACAGGAGGGACAGGAGAGGUUGUCCUGUGGUGGUAAAGGGCUUGCUUGGCACAUAUGAGGCCCUGAGGUGGAACCUUAGCACCAAGAAAACAAGAAGGGAUUGCAUUAGUGAAGUGUUCUCACUAUAGGUUAGCUCUGGAAGGGCCAGAGAUUAAAGAUCUGGUCACCAGCCCAUGAAGACAAUAGACUCUUUAGGAGGCAGGAGUGGUGACUGGAAGAUCACCAGAAAUGGGCUGUUUCAGGCAUUUGGUGGUCUGAAUAAGAAUGGCCACCAUGGGCUCAUUAUAUGUGAAUGCCUAGUCAUCAGGGAGUGGCACUGCUUGAGAAGGACUGAAGAGGUGUGGCCUAGUUGGGGAAAGUGUGUCACUGGGGGGGGGGGGGGUGAAGCUUUGAGGUUUCAAAAGCCCAAGCCAGGCCCAGUCUCUCUGCUCUUCCUGAUGCCUACAGAUCCAUAAGUAGAACACCCAGCUACUUUUCAGCACCAUGUCUGCCUGUGUGCUGCCAUGCUUCCCACCAUGAUAAUGCACUAAACCUCUGACACUGCAAGCAAGCCUUAGUGAAGUGCUUUCUUUAAAAUAAGAAUUGAUCUGGUUGUGGUGUCUCUUCACAGCACUAGAACAGUAACCAAACAAGGGAAUAGUGGGACCCUGCCCCAUCUUGCUUUUUGGCCGUCAUAAGGGGAACAGUUUGCUCUGCCAAGCAGCCCUACUCCACCAUGGUGCUUUGUCUUGCUGACUUCAUGUACUGAAACCUCUGAAACAAGGAGUCAAAGUAAACCAAAGUAGACCAGGCUGGCCUCGAACUCAGAGAACUGCCUGCCUCUGCCUCCCUAGUGCUGGAACUAAAGGCAUGUGCCACAACUGCCUGGCUGAGAAUAAUUUUUAAUAGGAGCAAUAUUUACAAUAGUAGAGUAAUCUUAGUCUACUUGAAUCAUAAUUACAGAAUACUAGUUUGUGUUUUAAUUAGAAACUAGUGUUUAACAAGACCAUCUCUACAAGCAAUGAACGGUCACUGGGAGAGAGACUCAGCCUUCCCCGGGUCAAGCUCCUGAUAAGCUAUCUAGUCCCAAGAGGUCAGCCCUAAAUACACUGAGCAACACUAAAUUAUCUCACUAAAUAACUGUACUUAGACACACAGACAUCAAUUAUAGUCAAAGAAUAAUAGGCUAUGAACUUCGGGAGUGGGAGGAAAUGACAGGGUUUAAGGAAAGAGAGGAAAGGAGAGUGAUAUAAAUAUAAUACUCAUAUAUGAAAUUAUCAAAAAAUAAAAUUAAAAAAGUUUUUAAAGAAAACUACUUUUAAAAAUUCUAUUUCUGGCCAGGCGUGGUGGCGCAAGCCUUUAAUCCCAGCCCUUGGGAGGCAGAGGCAGGUGGAUUUCUGAGUUCGAGGCCAGCCUGGUCUACAGAGUGAGUUCCAGGACAGCCAGGGCUAUAC